RNAcentral lists this unclassified non-coding RNA (771 nucleotides) under Hevea brasiliensis (rubber tree). Lineage: Eukaryota; Viridiplantae; Streptophyta; Magnoliopsida; Malpighiales; Euphorbiaceae. The record is from RNAcentral.
AGCAUCCCCAAGAGUGCAACAAUCUGUUGAUGGCAUAAGUUCAAUAAUUCACUAAACAAGAAAGAAAAAUUCAUCACUCGUGGAUUUAAAGAAUUAACAGAACAAAAAUAUGGCCUACCAUCUGAUCAAAACAUUCCCUAUGUUACAUUAUUCCGGAUGUUUCAGUGUAUGACCAAGAGAAAUUUACAAUUUCAAAUAGGGAAGCCCAAAAAUUAGAAAUUAUAAGGCUCUAAAUUUAGAUGUGAGGUAAGAUUCAGCACUUAACACAAAAUAAGAAUAAAAUUAGGACUAACAGAAUAUGAACAUUGUGCCUGAACAGUACACAGUUGGCAGAUUUGAAGAAGUUAGGGUUUAAGCCUCAGAGAUUCACUAAGAUCUACUGAAAGUCUGGAAGUCUCGCAGAAGAGAAGUUUAAGUGUUUCACCAUUAAAAGAUAGCAAACUUGAUAAGAGAUUUUAACAUGCUGCUGCUUACACAGAUGGCAAACUUGAAGAAGUUAGGGUUUAAACAUCAGAGAUUCACUAAGAUUUGCUGAAAGUCUGGAAGUCUCACAGAGGAAGAAAUUUAAGUAUUUAACCAUUAAAAUAUUGCAAACAUGAUAAGAGAUUUUAACACACUGCUGCUUGAUCUCAUGCUGGAAAAUAUAACUGUUCAAUUUCCCAAGCAGUAGCCACAAGCACAAACUCCACUAAGGAUAUCGAUGUUAAAAUAACACUAUCAGCCUUUCAAACAGUAAUCUGAAGACAACUUAAGAAAGACCAAGUGAUGCAU